AAAUAGGAUUUUUUAAAAUCCACCUCAUGGUUCUUGUUUUUUCUUUU
This is a non-coding RNA of Bos taurus (domestic cattle), 47 nucleotides long. NCBI's taxonomy places the organism in Eukaryota, Metazoa, Chordata, Mammalia, Artiodactyla, Bovidae. The record is from Rfam.